UAAAUUGUACCCUCAGAAACGAUAAGAAGACAAUGAUGUUAUUAUAUAUUCUUUACAAACUGAGUUGAAAAAUAUAUUGGUAGGUUUAAUACUGUUCAUUAAACCUACGAAGAAGCUAUUGUCUACUUGUCCAGACUAAAAUUUGUGGUAUCAGGUCCGUUCGCGCCCAAUAUACUUUCACACCCUACACGUUCGCACCCAAUAUACUUUCACACCCUACACGUUCGCACCUCGCACGUUCGCACCAAUUUCUAUUCGCACUCUACACGUUCGCGCCCAGUUUUAAUUCAAAUUCCAAUUGAAUAAUUGGAAAAUCAUGAUUUUUGUUUUUAAUUGCUUUGGUGUGAAUACUGAAUGUAUUUGUAGCUUGGUAUGAGUAAAAAGAUUGAAGAUUUUUAUUGAAAAACACAAAAGAUAAUUGUUUUUAACAGCUUGGUCCCUUUGAUCUGAAACAAUGAAACAAAAAAAUAUAGCAAAACACUAUUACUGAGACUACUAUAACACUCUCAGACUAUGACUAUUAUAACCAAAAUAUGAUCAAACAUGAUAAAAUUUAUUCAACACACAAAUUAAACGCAGUCAGAAUCUCACUCAAUUUGAAACAAGUCAAUGAAACAAAGUUAUAUAGCAAUACACUAACCAAAACAUGAUUAAGAGUUAUUCAACACAAAAUAAAAGGUUUACAGAAUUCCACUUUAUUUAGAAAGGAAUAAUUUUAAAAAAAAAUACUACUUGCCAAAAUGUGAUUACAAAGUUAUUAAACCCAAAACUAAUUUUAAUUGGGCGCGAACAUGUAGGGUGCGAAAGUGAAAGGGGGCGAACAUGAGUGGGCGCGAACGGACCCGGAUUCAAAAUUUGUCAUGUGUAAGACGGUAACAAAUUUAUAUAUGUUGUUUUAAUAUCAUGGGAUUCAUGAUCAGAGAUCAUCAGAGACAUAUAAUACAUAAUAAUAGUCGACUUUCAUAUUAUAUUUGAUGUCAGCGGUUAUGCGUAACGUCACGUGAUACCCGACAAGUUUUUUUCCGCGAAAAUAUAAACAAAGUAAAAAAGAAUGGUAAAACUAAAACGUUGUGUUUGGGGAACCUGCAACAGCGAUGACAGGUAUAAGCAUAAGCCUCAUAUGUUAGGAGUGGAAUUCUUUCCUAUACCUAAGCCUAAAACAAUAUAUGUCUCUGAUAUCAUGUUUAUCAGAAUGACAACUAUCUUGAGGUCCUAUCCCUACUUCAUCGUUAAUUUUAGCAACUUCACAUUUAUUAUGGGGGUCUCAUUGGGGGGUUCCGAUCCCGGAUCCCGCUUGCUGUUUUGUCAGAUUCCUGUAUCCCGCUUACACUAUGUACGUAACCAAUUCUCAUUUUUUUGUCAUUUCUCGGGUCCCCCAAGACCUCAUUUCUCGUUUUCACGAUACAAUAAAUUGACUUUCACGUUUCACACUUACGAAAAAUCGGCAAUCCCGCGUCACGCUUAGACCCCAAUGAGACCCACUAUUAUCAAUGUUGCUUGUAUAGUCAUGAUAGUCCAGUCAAACUGAUUAAACAUUUAACCUCAAACUAAUUGCAACAGAAAAUGGUUUAGUUCUAAUCUAUAGCAUUAUGUCCUUUAUAUAUAUAUACACUGAAAAAAGUCCUUUCAAAUCUUUACUUGAGGAAAACUCAAAAUCAGCAUUUUUAAUUUCCUAUGGAAAUUAUUAUUGGAACGGGAGAAAACUCUUGCAAAAAUGAGUCUCUUUUGGUCAGUUUUGGUUGUUUUUCUGGAAAUUUAUGUAAUGUCAUGAAUGUAUGAUACUUUGAUAGGGUUAUAAGUUUGUAUUUGACUAAAUUAUAAAAUCUGCUGCUUAUAAAAUGUACAAGACUGAAGUGUUAUGGGUAGUUUUAUUUUUUUCAUGCAUUUUUCAUUUAACAUGUUAAAUAAAUAGCAAAUUUGAAGCUUUGUAACCAUUUAAAAAAAAUAAUGUGAAAAUUUGGUAUUGUUUAAAUAUAUAUACAUGAUAUACAUGAUAUAGGAAGAUGUGUAUAUAUAUCUGUAUAUUAUAUUUUUUUCAGCAACUUAUUUAUCAAAAGAAACUUUAAACCACAAAAAGAAGAAUACAUGCUUAAAUAUUUUUCAUUAAAUUUGAGAUUCUUUACCUUGACAUGUUGAAAAAUUCAAUAAAUGGUCAACUAAUGAAUUACAAAAUCUAGAUUAUAGCUUGAUAAAAUAUAUGAAAACACGUUUAGAGUUGUCAUGUUGUUUGUUAUACUCUACAGACCACUAAUAAAUCAAGAACCAAUACAUUCUUAUGAAUAGGAGCGGUAAAGUUAUAAUUUAUUAUCAAUUUUUAUUGAUAUUUCUGCCUUUUUUGCAAGAGUUAACUCCCUCUUCAAUGCAAAUCUCCAUAGGAAUUUUAAAUCAUUAAUGGCGAUUUUUAUAGUCUUCCUCAAGUUAGAUUUUAUGGAACUUUUUUCUAUGUAUAUUUGGGGUAUAAUGCUAAAGAUUUAUACUUAAAAACCUUCUGUUGCAAAUACUUUCGGUUUAGGGUCAAAUUUAUGCUACAUUCAUGACAUUGACUGGACUAUUAACAGUUUAUCAGAUCAUUACAGAUUGGCUUUCCUUGUUUAUUCAUACAGGUGAGACAUUUAAUAUAUAUCUUUGGGGCAACAGUUUAUUUACUUAAGAUAAUUAUGAGAAGCAUGCAUGCCAAUGAGACAAUUCUCAAUCCAAGUUACAAUGCUUGAAAACAUGAAAAAGUUAAGAACACCAUGAACUCAGAGCUUGUAAAUUAUGUUGACAAUUACCAACAUUGUAUUCCUAAUGAACAAAUAAGUUGUAAGGUAUACAUCAAUAAGGCAGUACAGCAUACAGUCACAGCCCUUCUUGUACAUGUUGUAUUAUUUAAUAUUUAGUAUGGAACUAGAAUUACCCAAACAUACAGAUUCAUAAAUGCAGAGAAUGUCUAAAUUGCAGAAAAGUAUCAAAAGGUUAUAUACAUAUGUCUUUAUUUUUUGGUGUUCCUUACAGAGUCGUUCAAGAAAUUACAUACUGGUCACUGGACAUAAACAUUAUCAAUAAGAUGUCAGAGGGAGGAGAGGAUUUAGUCACACUCAAUGGUACUCUACAGAGACACAUAAACACACAGGCUGGAGAUAAACAAUAUCAAUAAGAUGUCAGAGGGAGGAGAGGAUUUAGUCACAAUCAACGGUACACUACAGAGACACAUAAACACACAGGCUGAUAAAACACAUCAUAAAUGUGAUGUCUGUGCUAGAGAUUUUAGUCAAAGAAGUAACUUAAAGGCACACAUGAGUACACAUACUAGAAAUAACCCUCAUGGCUGUGAUGUAUGUGGUAAAGGUUUUAGUUUUCUUAGUAAUUUACAGAGUCACAUGAGAAAACAUACAGGCGUUAAACCCCAUGAGUGUGAUGUAUGUGGUCAACAGUUUAGUCGGCGUUGGAGUUUACAGAUUCACAUGAGAACUCACACAGGUGAUAAACCUUAUGACUGUGAUGUUUGUGAUAAACGCUUUAGUCAGC
This 3507-nucleotide long non-coding RNA is filed under the name Mytilus galloprovincialis (Mediterranean mussel). Lineage: Eukaryota; Metazoa; Mollusca; Bivalvia; Mytilida; Mytilidae. The record is from RNAcentral.